Molecule: ribosomal RNA, 425 nt
Filed under: uncultured bacterium
Lineage: Bacteria
Description: partial 16S ribosomal RNA
Rfam family: Bacterial small subunit ribosomal RNA
Source: RNAcentral
GUGGGGAAUAUUGGACAAUGGGCGAAAGCCUGAUCCAGCAAUGCCGCGUGAGUGAUGAAGGCCUUAGGGUUGUAAAGCUCUUUUACCAGGGAUGAUAAUGACAGUACCUGGAGAAUAAGCUCCGGCUAACUCCGUGCCAGCAGCCGCGGUAAUACGGAGGGAGCUAGCGUUGUUCGGAAUUACUGGGCGUAAAGCGCGCGUAGGCGGUUUAUCAAGUCAGGGGUGAAAUCCCGGGGCUCAACCCCGGAACUGCCCUUGAAACUGGUUCACUAGAAUCAGGGAGAGGCGAGUGGAAUUCCGAGUGUAGAGGUGAAAUUCGUAGAUAUUCGGAAGAACACCAGUGGCGAAGGCGACUCGCUGGACAGGUAUUGACGCUGAGGUGCGAAAGCGUGGGGAGCAAACAGGAUUAGAUACCCGGGUAGUCC